UUUAUUCUGUAAGUUAUGACUAAUUUGGGUUUCUUUCUAUCUUUCAUUUUAAAAAGUGGGGUCCAUGUGUUCAGACUAACUUCAAAGAACCUGAACUUUUUAUAGUAUCCAUUUGACUCUUCGUAGCAUUUUCAAAAUUAGUCUUCACAAGUUUCUCUAAUAACAAACGCUGUUUUAGCAAAUUAGAAAAGUGUAAACAAUCAAAUAGUAAUGCUGCUGUAGAAGACAUUAGAUAUGCCAUGAUGUCAAAUCCCUAAUUAUUGAUCAUUAGACUCUAUGAAACUCAAAAUAAAUUUUAUUCAAAUUUGGGUAUUGUGUGAAUUGUAAGCCAACCUAAUUAUUUAACCUCUUGGUUAAUUACAAUUAGUGAAAAUUUAUUUCUUCUCUUCCAGGAGUACUGUUAACAUAAUAAAGAAAAUUGCCACCGUAUGGUUUUAAUACCUUUUGUUUCCUCCCAGUUCUGAGCUGUCUGUGUGCUGGUGUGAUCACCCCAGUAUAAAUUAGAGUACCUUAAGGGUUUCUGUAAGUUUUAUAUUGGAUGCCAGCGGCACUAGAGGCUGACAUGGCAACUGGGAAUUAGCAGGAUAGAAGAGCCCUACCCAUGUCUCCUUUUUUUCUGGUCACACGUUCUUUGCCAGAGGUACAGAGGACUUGCUAUUCUGGCUCUGCACAACAGAAGAAUUCUCUUUUGUGGGAGUGAUCGCCCUGUGACCAUCAACACCCUUGACUUGACAUUGCUAUGAUUCAAAACAUAUGUCGUCUUAAUCUGGAAAAGAUCAGAAGUUUCAUUUUCAUGAAACUGUCUUCAUUUCAUAUUCUAAAAAUCCUGUCCAAUGCCUCGCAAGCCACAAAAUCAUGGGUAGAAGUAAAACUGUUAAGGGACACCGCUGCAUUUAUCAUAGAUCUGAGGAUUCUGUGGUCAUAGAAAGGUCUGUCCCCUAGCACAUCCUCAUUAUGUUCUGUUGUGCAACACUUACAUUGUUUUCUAUUUUUUUUAUAUUAUAGUUUCAGUGUACAGUAGGUUACAGUGUAGGUAAACCAAUGACAUCCUAAGCCUUGGUAAACUUGGGUCUUUGUCAUGGUACAAGUGGAAAGGUAAUCACUUUUCACAUUAUUCACUACAGCAGUAGUCCUUAAUGGACCAACAUGCCCAAAGCCAAAAAUGCCUUGGAGAUCUGGGCAUUCACCUCACAGCUGUUUGCUUUUUGUACUCUUUCCACCCUAAGUCUGAAGUGAGAGGGAUAGGAAUCUCAAGGCUCUUUAGAAGAGGAGGGAACAGCUAAGUCUGACCAAAAACUCCUUGAGUCAUCAAUACCAACGUCUGAUCUAAGUCAUACCAAUGAAAUCCAUUAAUUUGUCUGUUAUCUGAUGUUGAAUACAUUCCCUUGGAUGAUAUCUGUGUAAUCUUUUCUCUGUGGUAUCCUCUUUGCUGCUAUCAUCAAGGCUCAAGAAAAAGUAGGCCCUAAAGUGAUUCAAGGAGCAAAAGAAAAGCUGAUUGAAUUUCCUCUCUCUAUGCAUUAUUUCAAUCUAGACAGGAUUUGGACUCCUCUGGAAAAUAUCAUUUUUCUGGUGUGAUGGUCCCAUCUAGAUCAUGUUUUGCUGGAGAUUUCCUUUGCACUAUCAAUUCUGUCUUCAUUAAAAUGGACAUUCACAGUUUAGGUUGUGGGAUACUCAUCUGGGCCUGUUGGUUAUUCAAGACCUUUGAAGACUAAUGGAGGUCAUAUGGCACACAACUUUUGGGCCUGUAAAUUGCUCUCUGAAUGUUGCUCCUCUGAUCAAAUCUAUCCUCGAGCCUGAAUGAGAUCAGCUGUUGGAUGAAGAACAGCUGACUGAAGAAAAACUGGACAAGUAGAUGAUGCUAAUGAGGAGAGUGAAGUGUUCUGAGGAACUAGUUAAUGCCUUACCAGUCAGCGAGAGGCUUUCCCAUCAUCAAAUUGGUAUGCAGCCUGAGUCUUGGUGAACUUGCUGAUGCUGGUUACCCAAAUAGCAACAACCAGAAUGAACUGCUUCUGCCUACUGUUGUCCAGGACACUCCACCUCAUCUUGAUUUAUGAAUUGUUGGCCACAGCAACCUGUACAUUGAAGUCCAGUCUCUUCCUGUAUCACCGUGUAUCUGGGAAUGAAACUGCAGAUGCUAAGGAAACUGCAGUUGUUCCUGAACACAGCAGCCUGCCUACUGAGCAACACAAGCUGACAAGAACACAUCCAUCUGGUGUGUUGGUCACUUCACUGAGUGCUCAUUUAUCAGUCAGGUUUUAAGGUUCUGGCUUUAAAUAACCAAGGCCUGGUGCAUGUGCUCUCUUCCUCCCUCUGACCCUGACAUAACUGCAAGGAUGAUGGAACUCUCCACACUCCCUUUUAAAGGAUCUAAAAUGACUAUAAACCCUACAGGUCCUAAAGAAAAAAUGCAAAACACAUUUCUUUGCCCUUUCCCAUAAUAGAGAUAAUA
This is a long non-coding RNA of Chelonia mydas (Green sea turtle), 2449 nucleotides long. RefSeq lists it as uncharacterized. The record is from RefSeq and is a predicted model, not a curated record. The transcript has 2 exons. Lineage: Eukaryota; Metazoa; Chordata; Testudines; Cheloniidae.